RNAcentral lists this ribosomal RNA (253 nucleotides) under uncultured bacterium. RNAcentral's name for it is "partial 16S ribosomal RNA". It matches the Rfam family "Bacterial small subunit ribosomal RNA", at positions 524 to 776 of the family's 1533-position model. The record is from RNAcentral.
UACAGAGGGUGCAAGCGUUGUUCGGAAUUAUUGGGCGUAAAGCGCGUGUAGGCGGCUUGGCAAGUCGGGUGUGAAAGCCCUCAGCUCAACUGAGGAAGUGCGCCCGAAACUGCUGAGCUUGAGUGCCGGAGAGGGUGGCGGAAUUCCCCAAGUAGAGGUGAAAUUCGUAGAUAUGGGGAGGAACACCGGUGGCGAAGGCGGCCACCUGGACGGUAACUGACGCUGAGACGCGAAAGCGUGGGGAGCAAACAGG